GAUACCCCCUUACAAGAGACUUAUAGGACCCCAUAUAGACCUAGUCAAAUAAGAAGCUCACAGAGAGAGAUCAUAAUCAAAAUACCUAACAGAAAAUAAGGAAAGAAUAUUAAAAGCUACAAGAGAGAAACAACAGGUCACAUUUAGAGGCAAACUAAUAAGGCUUAGACUCAUUUCUCAGUCCAGACCCUAAAAUCAAGGAAGGCCUGGAAUGAGAUAUUCAAAGCCCUAAACAAAAAUAAAAAAUAAAAAAAAUAAAAAAUAAACUUCCAUCCAGUGUUACUAUGUACACCCAGCAAAGCUUACUUUCAAAUUUGAGGGGGAAAUAAGAAUUUCCUACAACAAGAAUAAGCUAAAAUAAUUAAUGAGCACCAAUCCAGUACUACAAUGAAUACUCAAAGAUAAACUUUACACAGAGGAACUACAAAAUGAUUCUCAAAGGUCACAAACAAAAGUUUGAUAGAAUAAUCCAACAAAAGACAAUCAAAAUGGGAUAGAAUGUAGCAAAAAAACCAAAAUGGCAGGAAACCACAAACACAUAUCCAUACUAACACUGAAUGUUAAUGGUCUCAACUCCCCAUUUAAAAGAAAAGGAUUGGCAGAAUGGAUCAAAAAGCAAGAUUAAACUAUAUGCUGUUUACAAGAGACUCAUAGGCAAAGACAUGCCCAGGCUGAAGCUGAAAGUAUGGCAAAAAAUAUUCCAAACAAAUUGUCCAAGGAAACAAGCAGAAGUAGCUAUUCUCAUAUCUGACAAAACAGAUUUCAAGCAAAAAUCAAUCAGAAGUGACAAAGAAAUCCACUACACCUUAGUAAAGGGAACAAUCCAACAAGAUACAAUGAUAAUAUUUAUUCCCCAAAAGUCAAUAUAUCCAAUUACAUGGAGAAAAUACUCCAUGGCAUUAAAUUCCAUAUAGAACCCCAAACAAUAAUUAGAAAAAAAAACAAUUCUUAAAUUCAUUUAGAGUAA
This 967-nucleotide long non-coding RNA is filed under the name Marmota monax (woodchuck). Lineage: Eukaryota; Metazoa; Chordata; Mammalia; Rodentia; Sciuridae. The record is from RNAcentral.